Molecule: ribosomal RNA, 497 nt
Filed under: uncultured bacterium
Lineage: Bacteria
Description: partial 16S ribosomal RNA
Rfam family: Bacterial small subunit ribosomal RNA
Source: RNAcentral
GAUGAACGCUGGCGGCGUGCCUAAUACAUGCAAGUCGAGCGAACAGAUGAGGAGCUUGCUCCUCUGACGUUAGCGGCGGACGGGUGAGUAACACGUGGAUAACCUACCUAUAAGACUGGGAUAACUUCGGGAAACCGGAGCUAAUACCGGAUAAUAUAUUGAACCGCAUGGUUCAAUAGUGAAAGACGGUUUUGCUGUCACUUAUAGAUGGAUCCGCGCCGCAUUAGCUAGUUGGUAAGGUAACGGCUUACCAAGGCAACGAUGCGUAGCCGACCUGAGAGGGUGAUCGCCCACACUGGAACUGAGACACGGUCCAGACUCCUACGCGAGGCAGCAGUAGGGAAUCUUCCGCCAUGGGCGAAAGCCUGACGGAGCAACGCCGCGUGAGUGAUGAAGGUCUUCGGAUCGUAAAACUCUGUUAUUAGGGAAGAACAAAUGUGUAAGUAACUAUGCACGUCUUGACGGUACCUAAUCAGAAAGCCACGGCUAACUACGUG